Molecule: long non-coding RNA, 893 nt
Filed under: Bos indicus x Bos taurus (hybrid cattle)
Lineage: Eukaryota; Metazoa; Chordata; Mammalia; Artiodactyla; Bovidae
Description: lncRNA (ENSBIXG00000019669.1)
Source: RNAcentral
GAGCCCUGAAGCUGGUUUUCUGAUAGCUGGAAAGACUGACAGAUUUCAUUACAUUUGUCACAGGAUCUAAAAAGUCCACGUGGGAGAAAAUAAUCCCACUUAGUAAAAACAUCUCACUGUGCCUUUGAGUGGGGAUGGAGCAGCAGAAAGAGUAUUGUUCCUGCGAAAACUGCAAGGCGUGUGGCAUAUGUGCUGAAGUGCGAUGACUAUUCACCAGUCUCCGGUUUAGGUGGCUGAGAAAGCCCCCACGAUACUGCAUGGGGGCUGGGAUUUAUAUACAUCUGUGAAAUGGCAUAAGAAUCAAAGGGGAAAUGAAUUUCCUGCGGUGCAGAUGAGCUUCGUAAAAUCACUCCCAUCUGAGUACACCUCCUUCUCCUCCAGCACGUUGAAAACCAUUUGAAUAAUGCCCGUUAUUCAGUUGCAUUGUGUGCUCUGAAAGCCAUUUAAUGAAGGUAGACAGGCUUCCAAGAAGGUGCAUUCUUUGACUAAUGUAGAUACUCCUGGAAAAAUCUUUCCCCAACACGGAAGGCAAGAUUUACUGAGUGAGUGGAAGAAGGAGUGCUAUUAGAACGUCUUGUUUCACUCAAUCAAAUCGAAUGCGAGUGACCUUGGGUUCAACUUGAUCUAUUCUGGGUGAACCUUACUCUAUGCAAUCUGAGAUUGAUACUAUGUCAGAAGCUGAAUAUAUGGAUGUCUUUGUGACUCUCAGAUGUCAGAUGACAAAGUGCCACACGAGCUUUGAUUUUCAUACCAACCCAGGGAGUCCCAGCUUCGGCCAGGGUCCCUCCUCUCCCCCUUGGUAACACGGUGACAUUCAAGUGCAUUAAGCAAUUGUUUGAGGACUGAAAUAUUAUUUGGAGAAAAGUCUCAAGAAAAUGCAACUGUGUUUGUCG